This 94-nucleotide small RNA is filed under the name Caenorhabditis elegans. Its description in RNAcentral is "Unclassified non-coding RNA Y22D7AL.21". Lineage: Eukaryota; Metazoa; Nematoda; Chromadorea; Rhabditida; Rhabditidae. The record is from RNAcentral.
GGUCACCACCCCCGAAGAGAUCGCUCAAGUCGCCACAAUUUCCGCCAAUGGAGACACCGUCGUCGGAAAUCUCAUCAGUGACGCCAUGAAGAAG